RNAcentral lists this ribosomal RNA (253 nucleotides) under uncultured bacterium. RNAcentral describes it as "partial 16S ribosomal RNA". It matches the Rfam family "Bacterial small subunit ribosomal RNA", at positions 524 to 776 of the family's 1533-position model. The record is from RNAcentral.
UACAGAGGGUGCGAGCGUUAAUCGGAAUUACUGGGCGUAAAGCGUGCGUAGGUGGUUCGUUGUGUCUGUGGUGAAAGCCCCGGGCUUAACCUGGGAAUGGCCAUGGAAACUGGCGAGCUGGAGUGUGGCAGAGGGGGGUGGAAUUCCGCGUGUAGCAGUGAAAUGCGUAGAGAUGCGGAGGAACACCGAUAGCGAAGGCAGCCCCCUGGGCUAACACUGACGCUGAGGCACGAAAGCGUGGGGAGCAAACAGG